Aegilops tauschii subsp. strangulata is the source of this 1210-nucleotide long non-coding RNA. RefSeq lists it as uncharacterized. The record is from RefSeq and is a predicted model, not a curated record. Lineage: Eukaryota; Viridiplantae; Streptophyta; Magnoliopsida; Poales; Poaceae.
ACCUCCACCUCUUCUUCUCAUGACUAACUAACCGAUAGCUUCAUAUGCUCCAGUAUAUUUUCUUUGUAGUAGAAACUAGAAGCUCAAUGAUAAAAAUGAAUCCCGAAUUUUUACAUGUACGCAGGAGUUCUCUUGUAUGCAACUUGAUAUGUCGUUGGUAUGGGACACAUUUUCUACUUCAUCAUAUGAGUGUAUGACCUAGAAUCAAUUCUUCUAUUUGCAUCUAUAUAUUUCCAAGCAAUACAUAUAAUGAGACUCCUUACAAGUUCAUAAAAACAAUUCAGCAUCUUCAUUUGUGACUAUACUCUGGUUUUGCUUCAUGUCUUCUACAAGUAGUGAUUUCUAUUUUGUUUUGUUAAUUCCGUUUGAUUUUUUCGGCCUUGGUAUCUUUCCACGGAAUGAUGAGAGAUUUUCUGACAGGAAGUAUAACACACAAAGCAAACACGAAGCCCUUGCAUCAUGUCUCCCAUGGUUCUCGACAAUGGAAAAAAUUAAGAAAAAACUUCGGUGAGAUAGAAACACAGGUUUGUUGUAUUUCACAAAACUGAAACAUGAUUUCCUUAUUGCUUCUGUUGGCAUGAACUUCUGUUCAUUCGUAUGCCAUCUAAUAGGAUCUUCUUUACACCAACCUAUUUGCAUGUUUAUAAACAAAGGAAACUACUUUGUUUGUAACUUUACACCAACAUAUUGGCAUGUAUAUUAGUAGCAAUGUAACUUAAAUGAACAACUCUAGCAUAUUAAUUAAAAUUCCUUGCACAAUACUUCUCAGUUUCUCAGGUUUAAGAACAAUCUAUAGCACAUUUAAUCGCUUCAGUUAGUAGUCGUGUUUUUCUAUUUAGAUAAUUAUUUUGUAAUCUUGACCCUUACUCUACAUUAAUUUACUUGUCGGUUAUUAUAUGGUUCCAGCUCUCACAAACUUCUCAAUAGCUUGCAGAUGAUUGAUUGAAUGCUUUUUUUUCUUCUGAUUAUUACACAUCAUCAGUUAUGUAUCAAAAAGCUGAAGUGCCCUUUGAUCAAUUUAACGUGAAGAAGAUUUGUAUGAGCUGCAUGUAAUAGUAACAUAGAAAUUAUGACUGUUGGGAGACAAAAAGAGGGCGGUUGUAAUGGUAAAGAAGACAAAAUGACUGUUGUUGAACCUAGCAUGUCUACAAAUAAGCAUAUGGUAUGGCGAUGGACAUAACUUUCUUAUUCACAACUUUCUUAUUUGCAA